CGGAGCGAAAGCGACGUUCAACCGCAAAAGAAGCAGAGGGGGCUUAGUGGUGGGGUGACUGCGUACCUUUUGUAUAAUGGGUCAGCGACUUAUAUUCUGUAGCAAGGUUAACCGUAUAGGGGAGCCGGAGGGAAACCGAGUCUUAACCGGGCGUUAAGUUGCAGGGUAUAGACCCGAAACCCGGUGAUCUAGCCAUGGGCAGGUUGAAGGUUGGGUAACACUAACUGGAGGACCGAACCGACUAAUGUUGAAAAAUUAGCGGAUGACCUGUGGCUGGGGGUGAAAGGCCAAUCAAACCGGGAGAUAGCUGGUUCUCCCCGAAAGCUAUUUAGGUAGCGCCUCGUGAAUUCAUCUCCGGGGGUAGAGCACUGUUUCGGCUAGGGGGCCAUCCCGGCUUACCAACCCGAUGCAAACUGCGAAUACCGGAGAAUGUUAUCACGGGAGACACACGGCGGGUGCUAACGUCCGUCGUGAAGAGGGAAACAACCCAGACCGCCAGCUAAGGUCCCAAAGUCAUGGUUAAGUGGGAAACGAUGUGGGAAGGCCCAGACAGCCAGGAUGUUGGCUUAGAAGCAGCCAUCAUUUAAAGAAAGCGUAAUAGCUCACUGGUCGAGUCGGCCUGCGCGGAAGAUGUAACGGGGCUAAACCAUGCACCGAAGCUGCGGCAGCGACGCUUAUGCGUUGUUGGGUAGGGGAGCGUUCUGUAAGCCUGUGAAGGUGUGUCGUGAGGCAUGCUGGAGGUAUCAGAAGUGCGAAUGCUGACAUAAGUAACGAUAAAGCGGGUGAAAAGCCCGCUCGCCGGAAGACCAAGGGUUCCUGUCCAACGUUAAUCGGGGCAGGGUGAGUCGACCCCUAAGGCGAGGCCGAAAGGCGUAGUCGAUGGGAAACGGGUUAAUAUUCCCGUACUUGGUGUUACUGCGAAGGGGGGACGGAGAAGGCUAUGUUGGCCGGGCGACGGUUGUCCCGGUUUAAGCGUGUAGGUGUGUGUUCCAGGUAAAUCCGGUUCACUUUAACACUGAGGCGUGAUGACGAGGCACUACGGUGCUGAAGCAACAAAUGCCCUGCUUCCAGGAAAAGCCUCUAAGCAUCAGGUAACAUCAAAUCGUACCCCAAACCGACACAGGUGGUCAGGUAGAGAAUACCAAGGCGCUUGAGAGAACUCGGGUGAAGGAACUAGGCAAAAUGGUGCCGUAACUUCGGGAGAAGGCACGCUGACACGUAGGUGAAGUGAUUUACUCAUGGAGCUGAAGUCAGUCGAAGAUACCAGCUGGCUGCAACUGUUUAUUAAAAACACAGCACUGUGCAAACACGAAAGUGGACGUAUACGGUGUGACGCCUGCCCGGUGCCGGAAGGUUAAUUGAUGGGGUCAGCGCAAGCGAAGCUCCUGAUCGAAGCCCCGGUAAACGGCGGCCGUAACUAUAACGGUCCUAAGGUAGCGAAAUUCCUUGUCGGGUAAGUUCCGACCUGCACGAAUGGCGUAAUGAUGGCCAGGCUGUCUCCACCCGAGACUCAGUGAAAUUGAACUCGCUGUGAAGAUGCAGUGUACCCGCGGCAAGACGGAAAGACCCCGUGAACCUUUACUAUAGCUUGACACUGAACAUUGAGCCUUGAUGUGUAG
RNAcentral lists this ribosomal RNA (1619 nucleotides) under Salmonella enterica subsp. enterica serovar Paratyphi B var. L(+) tartrate +. RNAcentral describes it as "partial 23S ribosomal RNA". It matches the Rfam family "Bacterial large subunit ribosomal RNA", at positions 534 to 2141 of the family's 2925-position model. Lineage: Bacteria; Pseudomonadati; Pseudomonadota; Gammaproteobacteria; Enterobacterales; Enterobacteriaceae. The record is from RNAcentral.